This 158-nucleotide small nuclear RNA is filed under the name Dasypus novemcinctus (nine-banded armadillo). RNAcentral's name for it is "U1 spliceosomal RNA (ENSDNOG00000033365.1)". It matches the Rfam family "U1 spliceosomal RNA". From Rfam's summary of the family: U1 is a small nuclear RNA (snRNA) component of the spliceosome (involved in pre-mRNA splicing). Its 5' end forms complementary base pairs with the 5' splice junction, thus defining the 5' donor site of an intron. There are significant differences in sequence and secondary structure between metazoan and yeast U1 snRNAs, the latter being much longer (568 nucleotides as compared to 164 nucleotides in human). Lineage: Eukaryota; Metazoa; Chordata; Mammalia; Cingulata; Dasypodidae. The record is from RNAcentral.
AUACUUACCAGGGAAGAUACUAUGAUUAUGAAGGUGGUUUUCCCAGGGCGAGGUUGAUCCAUUGCGCUCCGGAUGUGCUGACCCCGUGAGUUCCCCAGUGAGGGAAACUCAACUGCGUAAUUUGUGGUAGAGGGGGACUGUAUUUGCACUCUCCCCGG